AGGAGUGGCGAACGGGUGAGUAACACGUGGGUAACCUGCCCAUCAGAAGGGGAUAACACUUGGAAACAGGUGCUAAUACCGUAUAACAAUCGAAACCGCAUGGUUUUGAUUUGAAAGGCGCUUUCGGGUGUCGCUGAUGGAUGGACCCGCGGUGCAUUAGCUAGUUGGUGAGGUAACGGCUCACCAAGGCGACGAUGCAUAGCCGACCUGAGAGGGUGAUCGGCCACAUUGGGACUGAGACACGGCCCAAACUCCUACGGGAGGCAGCAGUAGGGAAUCUUCGGCAAUGGACGAAAGUCUGACCGAGCAACGCCGCGUGAGUGAAGAAGGUUUUCGGAUCGUAAAACUCUGUUGUUAGAGAAGAACAAGGAUGAGAGUAACUGUUCAUCCCUUGACGGUAUCUAACCAGAAAGCCACGGCUAACUACGUG
RNAcentral lists this ribosomal RNA (430 nucleotides) under Lactiplantibacillus plantarum. Its description in RNAcentral is "bacterial SSU rRNA". It matches the Rfam family "Bacterial small subunit ribosomal RNA", at positions 91 to 507 of the family's 1533-position model. Lineage: Bacteria; Bacillati; Bacillota; Bacilli; Lactobacillales; Lactobacillaceae. The record is from RNAcentral.